GAGGGUAUAGCUCAGUGGUAGAGUGCCCGCUUAGCAUACAUUGAGGUCCUGGGUUCAAUCCCCAGCACCUCCA
Molecule: transfer RNA, 73 nt
Filed under: Camelus bactrianus (Bactrian camel)
Lineage: Eukaryota; Metazoa; Chordata; Mammalia; Artiodactyla; Camelidae
Also listed under: 2 other names
Rfam family: tRNA
About the family: Transfer RNA (tRNA) molecules are approximately 80 nucleotides in length. Their secondary structure includes four short double-helical elements and three loops (D, anti-codon, and T loops).
Source: Rfam by way of RNAcentral